GCAGAUUCAUUUUCUGCCACCGAAUACAUUAGCAUGGGAUAAUGGAAUAGGACCCUGUCCUCCUAUUUUCAGUUGGUUUUGGCAGCGCGAGGACUAGGGUAAUGAUUAAUAGGGAUAGUUGGGGGCAUUAAUAUUUAAUUGUCAGAGGUGAAAUUCUUGGAUUUAUGAAAGAUUAACUUCUGCGAAAGCAUCUGCCAAGGAUGUUUUCAUUAAUCAAGAACGAAAGUUAGGGGAUCGAAGACGAUCAGAUACCGUCGUAGUCUUAACCAUAAACGAUGCCGACCAGCGAUUAGGAGACGUUGAAUACAAAACACCACCACCGGCGCGGUCGUCCUUGGCGUUCGUG
This 346-nucleotide ribosomal RNA is filed under the name Acanthamoeba genotype T4. RNAcentral's name for it is "SSU rRNA". It matches the Rfam family "Eukaryotic small subunit ribosomal RNA", at positions 780 to 1092 of the family's 1831-position model. Lineage: Eukaryota; Discosea; Longamoebia; Acanthamoebidae. The record is from RNAcentral.